This 468-nucleotide ribosomal RNA is filed under the name uncultured bacterium. RNAcentral's name for it is "partial 16S ribosomal RNA". It matches the Rfam family "Bacterial small subunit ribosomal RNA", at positions 28 to 507 of the family's 1533-position model. The record is from RNAcentral.
GACGAACGCUGGCGGCGUGCUUAACACAUGCCAGUCGAACGGAAAGGCCCUGCUUUUGUGGGGUGCUCGAGUGGCGAACGGGUGAGUAACACGUGAGUAACCUGCCCUUGACUUUGGGAUAACUUCAGGAAACUGGGGCUAAUACCGGAUAGGAGCUCCUGCUGCAUGGUGGGGGUUGGAAAGUUUCGGCGGUUGGGGAUGGACUCGCGGCUUAUCAGCUUGUUGGUGGGGUAGUGGCUUACCAAGGCUUUGACGGGUAGCCGGCCUGAGAGGGUGACCGGCGACAUUGGGACUGAGAUACGGCCCAGACUCCUACGGGAGGCAGCAGUGGGGAAUAUGGCACAAUGGGCGGAAGCGUGAUGCAGCAACGCCGGGUGCGGGAUGACGGCCUUCGGGGUGUAAACCGAUGUCGCAUGUGACGAAGCGUGAGUGACGGUAAUGGGUAAAGAAGCACCGGCUAACUACGUG